UACGUAGGGUGCGAGCGUUAAUCGGAAUUACUGGGCGUCAAGCGUGCGCAGGCGGUUGUGCAAGACAGAUGUGAAAUCCCCGGGCUUAACCUGGGAAUUGCAUUUGUGACUGCACGGCUAGAGUGUGUCAGAGGGGGGUAGAAUUCCACGUGUAGCAGUGAAAUGCGUAGAUAUGUGGAGGAAUACCGAUGGCGAAGGCAGCCCCCUGGGAUAACACUGACGCUCAUGCACGAAAGCGUGGGGAGCAAACAGG
Molecule: ribosomal RNA, 253 nt
Filed under: uncultured bacterium
Lineage: Bacteria
Description: partial 16S ribosomal RNA
Rfam family: Bacterial small subunit ribosomal RNA
Source: RNAcentral